ACACACACAUGUAUGAAACACACACAUGGUAGCUCACGACCAUCUACGAAUCCGAUUCUGGUGGAUCUGAAGCCUUCUUCCAACCUUCACUGGCACCAGACACACAAAUGAUAUAAAUACAUGUGUGUAGGCAGAUCUUUACAAAUAAAUUAAAACAUUACCAGCUUUUGGUUUCUCUUUUGUCUUUGGGUGGUUUGCAUGCACGUAUGUCUCUCUACUACUUGCGUGCCUGGUGCCUACAGAGCGUGUCGGACCCCCCUGGAACCAGAGUUAUAGAUUGAAGUGGGAACUUAAGGGUUUUUUUGGAAAGUCGUUCAGAUGGUGUUUUGCUGGAGUGAACACGUGAAAGAACAUUUCAUUAAAGUGGACACAGGUGUGAAAGGCUAAGGCCGACUUGUGAAGGAAUGUUUGGCUGAAGCAGACCGAUGAAAGGACAUUCUGCUAAGGCAAACACAAGAAUGGACACGUGAUAAAGGAUUCUGGACACGUGAUGAGGGAUUCUGGACACGUGAUGAAGGAUUCUUUGCUAACAGCACGCAUGCGUCGGUCCACCUCACAUUGCGUAGUUGGGACUCCACGGAGAGAAAUGAACCAGUAAACCUCUGAUGGUCUGCUACAGUUUCUUGCUGCUUCUGUGGACUUGGGCUGAUUGGCGGAGUAACGUCAGCUGAGACAGACUCACGUGCUGAGGCAGGACCCAUGGAGGACCUGCCAUGUUUAGAGGGUACAGACAGUACUCAGCAGUGACGGAGGCUGAGCUUGGCUUGCUUACAGAGCCAACCAUGCAACACUUGUGGGUCUCGCCUCUUUGCUGAUCUUCACUUCCCUAAGAGAGGCACAGCCGAGAACUUCUGGCCUUCUUCUUGGUCCCUCCGGCUGACUAGAGCUGAGGCACCCCCGGCUGUCUCUGCUAGGUAGUGUUACUGUUGCUGAUUCCUGUUUGCUACCCGACUCUACUGAACUAGAUGCUGGCGUGGUGUAUCGGUGAAGUGUUUGCCAGUGGAUCGAGCUGCUGCUACUAACCUGGGAACUGAACAGCUGAUUUCCAGACAGCACAGAACACCUGGAGUGGAUUACAGUUCUUCUCAUGCAGUUGUGUGUCUGGAAUGGAAACCCUGACAUCUAAGGCAGGACAUUUCAGAAGAACUGGGAUGGCUCUUGGCAUCAUUGGGAGAACCUGAAAGGGAAUACUAAGGGGACAGAGCUACAGAAUUUCCCAUCUGAGGAACUUGUACUUGUGGGGAAGUUGAUCAGAAACACCAGAGUCUGAAUUCUUCAGGCAGCUGAAUCUUGGUUCAAAGUAAGUUAAAAAGAAUUACAUAGAAGAGAAAUUCAACUCUGAAAUUCAAAACAUAUGUCAUUGAAUACCCUGAUGUAAACUUAGGAAAACAAAUGAAAGGACAGACUUUUUUCUAGUUAUUUGUUGACAUUCAGUCAUUCAGUCAUUCAUUUAUUUCUGGGGAGCUUCAGGCAGCUGAGGAGAUUUGUACACUGUCUUGGGUGAACAGACUACAACCAGGAACCAAGAAGCAUGUGGGGAACAUGUUGCAGGUUCAGCUUCAGAACACAUUGAGUCAUUUCAACAAAAACUGUGAUAAUUAAAGAGGAAAAAUUACAUUUAGCCCAGAUAUAAAAUGGGGAUAAGACUGAGCUCUUUUGGAAGUCAAUGCCAGAGAACACUCAGGUAAGAUAUCUGCCUACCAGGGAGGAAAAUAAACAAAGGGUGGCUGUCUGCUCCUAUGUGUGCAAAUACAGGUGUGACUCAUAAAUCAACAUCAGUUGUCACUGUAAAAGGAAAGGUGCCCAAAAGUGUGAAAGAAGACACAAGUACAUCAUCCGUGAUAUAUAAACCUGGUAAAGACGUUUGGUUCACAAGAGAAUUGUUUAGAAUGGUUCUUUCAAAAUUUUGCUCAGCAUUUCCAACUUAAUGAUCUAGGAUUUCAUGAGGAAGAUAGGGCAUUGGUACUUCUGGACAACUCUCCAGUUCACCCUUCUGCGGAACCAUCAGCCAGUGAGGAUGGUAGAAUAAGAUACACGUUCUCUCCCCCUAAUACUUCUACUUUGAGUCAACCAGUGAAUCAAGCUGUAACCUUGAGCUGCAAAGAACUUUAGAGAUGGAAACAACUUGAAGAGAGUCUUAGAAACUUUGGAGAAAGUGAGGAUGAACAGGAAAAAGAAAGAGAAGGGAAUUUCCAAGAUUAAGAUGUAGAAUGUGAAAAGUGCACUUUUUAACUGGGAUGAAGUAAAACAAUUAACAGUAGCAGACGCAUGGGAAAUCUCCUUUACAAAGAAGAAACUGUGUGACCUUCAAGGGCAAGAGCGUGGGAGCUAGAGGGAUCCUUGAGAAAGGUGCAGAAACCAAGCUGGGCAUGGAGGAUAUGGUUAAAUGAAGAUGAUGAAGAGAAAGGUUGUUUCUCCCCGCCUCUCUCCACCCUUCACCCCUGAAAACCCAAAAGGUGAGACAGUAAAGGAAGCUGUGCAAAGGACGGAGCUGGAAAUUGGACAGGAAUUUAAGUUCCACACUGGACUACAUUCUUAACUUUCCUGAUGCCAUACCUGAAUUUUAAAUACUUCAUUUCACACUAAGAGAUGCAACAAAAAUAUAGCCAAGAAAGAACUGGAGAGUAAAAUCCUUUUAAGAAUUGGUAGGUUUUUGAAAACUAGACUUCCUAAUAUUAAGGAUACUGUCAAUAUGCCUUCAACUUCUGGUUCUAGUAAUCAGACUAUGUAAAGGUAAUUGGAAUAUAUGAUACUGUUGAUACCGUUUUUAAUCAAACAUUAUUUUCAUAUCAAUGCUCACUUAUGCAUUGGCUAGAAUAUAGUUUGAAAAUAAAUGUGAAUUCCCAUAAAUGUAUGAAUAUCAUUUUCUAUUUACAAAUCAAGGAUAUGAAUAAUGAAUUAUCAUCCUAAAUUAUAUAAAUUGUAAUGGCUAUGCUAAAAACAUAGGUUUAAAUUCUACCAUGUAAUUUUGGCUAAUACACAUUAGUACUAUGCACCAAGCAAGACCUUUGUUUCAUUCUCCAGAAUUAAAAAAUAGUAACGUACGUCACAUAAAGGAGGAAGGGGCUCCUCCUAAGCCCCUAGAAGGAACUCAUAAUGAGCUAAGCUGGCCACGAACAGAUUUAUGACUGCCUACAUGGUCUUAUUACCCAUAGGGAAGUACAACCAAAGAGAAUUAAAAUAUUACAAGACGGGAGCUAGACAGUUGGCUCAGUGGUUAAGAACACUGGCUGGGGCUGGAGAGAUGGCUCAGCGGUUAAGAGCACUGACUGCUUUUCCAGAGGUCCUGAGUUCAAUUCCCAGCAACCACAUGGUGGUUCACAACCAUCUGUAAUGAGGUCUGAUGCCCUCUUCUGGUGCGUCUGAAGAUAGCGUACAGUGUACUCAUAUACAUAUAAUAAAUAAAUAUUAAAGAACAUUGGCUGUUCUCCAGGUGAUCCACGUUCAAUUUCUAGUCCCUAUAUGGUAGUCCGUUCUAGCCCAGGGGAUCUCAGCUCCCCCUGCACCAUGCCUGCCUGAAUGCUGCCAUGUUUCUGCCUUGAUGACAAUGGACUGAACCUCUGAACCUGUAAGCCAGCCAAGAAUUAAAUGUUGUCUUUAUAA
This 3603-nucleotide small RNA is filed under the name Rattus norvegicus (Norway rat). RNAcentral describes it as "uncharacterized LOC102551940". The record is from RNAcentral. Lineage: Eukaryota; Metazoa; Chordata; Mammalia; Rodentia; Muridae.